ACCGCAAGAAAGAAGCCUUGAGUUUGGU
This 28-nucleotide non-coding RNA is filed under the name Homo sapiens (human). Lineage: Eukaryota; Metazoa; Chordata; Mammalia; Primates; Hominidae. The record is from RNAcentral.